RNA transcript from Quercus lobata, 1450 nucleotides. It is a transcript of the gene named F-box protein CPR1-like, with no coding region annotated. The transcript is spliced from 4 exons. The record is from RefSeq and is a predicted model, not a curated record. Lineage: Eukaryota; Viridiplantae; Streptophyta; Magnoliopsida; Fagales; Fagaceae.
CAGUGAAAACAAUGGCCAAAACCCAUAUCCUUCUCUCUGAACAAGAAAAUCUUUUGUCAAUGGCAUCCUCCUCCGCUUCCAAUUCUCAUAUACCGCUAGAGCUAACCCUCAAUAUACUACACCAUUUACCAGUCAAGUCUCUUGUCCGCUUCCUCUGCAUUUCUAAGCAAUGGCGCCAUUUAAUCAGCAGCCAAGAUUUCAUCAAGAAGCAUCUCAAGCUCUCCAUCGAGUCCAACAGAGACUGUGGCAUCAUCCUCCGGCACUUCGAUGACUCUGAUUUCUUACGCUUCCUCUUCGCUCCUUUAUUCGACAACAACCAGUUCGGAAACGCCGUUGAAAUUCACUCGGCCCUACAGCUCCACAUCUUGCACCAUUGCGACGGCUUGGUUUGCCUCUCUGACGAGAAAGACGAGGUCGCAAUAUGGAACCCGUUGAUCAGAAAGUAUAGGAAAUUGCCUCGAGAACUGGUUGAGAAGCCUUCUGGUUUCGAGCAUUGCACCAGGGCAUUCGCUUUCGGCUAUGAUCCGCAGAACGAUGACUAUAAGGUGUUGAGGGUCGUAGAAUUUUACAAUGCUAAGAGGCAUUUAACAGAGUUUGAAGUCAAGGCAUAUAGUCUUAAAGCGCAGUCUUGGAAAAAGGUUGAAGAACAAUGGCCUGACAAGAAACUCUCGUUAAAUCCGGGUUCCGCGUCUCUGAAUGGAGCUGUGCAUUGGUUAGUUGAUGCUCCUCAAUCUAAAAUCGAAUCGCUUAUUGCUUUCGACCUUGCCACUGAGAAGUUUCGGUUCUAUAAGGCGCCGGAUCAACCAGACGACGAAGAACGUGUGUUCCCUGCUUUGGAAGUGUUGGGAAGAUACCUCUGUUAUUCUGUUCUUGUGAACCAUAACGACACUACUUAUCACGAAGUUUGGCUGAUGAAAGAAUAUGGGGUAGAGAGUUCUUGGACACAGAUUUAUAGAAUUGGGCAAGGUGAAGUGCCUGGGAUUUUUGCGUAUAGGCCGCUAAUGUUUUCCAAGAAUGGCAAGGAGGUCUUGUUGGAGGAGGCACGAGAGCACUAUAUGAAUCUUGUUUGGUAUGACAUGGAAAACAAAACAGGCCAGAGGGUAGAGAAUCGGAGUUUUCCUUGUGGGUUUACAGCGUCAAUUUGUACCGGCAGCCUUCUUUUGCUUGAUGGUGAUAAUGUGAUUGAUCCGAGAGGGUCUUAAUCUGUUGGUGGAAGCAUUGUAUGAAUUAAUGUUUGAGCUUUGAAGGAUAAACAGGGAUUGUAAGACAUUGCUGCUGUCAGUUGUGGUGUGUGCAGCAGAUGUAUGGCUUUGAUGUGGCUCAUUGAUAGCUCAAGAUUUUAAAAAUGAAUUGAUAAUCAUCUUGUUAUAGCAUCUUGAUUAUCCGUGCAGGGCUGGAGCAAAAAAUUGAGUACGACUCUCUGUUAAUGUACCUGACAUCUGAAAUUUCU